Hyposmocoma kahamanoa is the source of this 401-nucleotide long non-coding RNA. RefSeq lists it as uncharacterized. The record is from RefSeq and is a predicted model, not a curated record. The transcript has 4 exons. NCBI's taxonomy places the organism in Eukaryota, Metazoa, Arthropoda, Insecta, Lepidoptera, Cosmopterigidae.
GACCCCGCAAUAGAUCCCAAAAGGUAUGGAAUGAUAUGAAAAGCAGGGUGAAAAUCUACGCCACAUCGAUGGCGGCAACGACUGGGGCAGAGGCCCUUCCAGCAAUCAAAGGACACCAACUCUAGCGCAAACGAGCUGAUGAGCAUCGGAGCAGAGCUGGGUGGAAUUCUUAUGCGUUGAGGAGCUGCGAGCUUGCAAAGCAUUCUUGCAGCAAAUGAAUGCUGGCAGGGUGCAGGCUGAGGCAGCCAUUAUUUCUGCCAAAGCAGAUGAUCUGCAUGCCCAAUCCGUAGCUGUCAUUUGCGAAGCAAUUACCGAGUUGGUGCCUGCAGUUAACCUUUUUGAUAGAAUAUUUAACAAGAAUGACAGACUUCUUUGAAGAAUAAAAACCAAAGGUUGCUCUG